UUGAAAUGGCUUUCCCUCCAGAGUGGAUCCUGAGUACGGCGGAACACGUGAAAUUCCGUCGGAAUCCGGGAGGACCAUCUCCCAAGGCUAAAUACUCCCUAGUGACCGAUAGUGAACCAGUACCGUGAGGGAAAGGUGAAAAGCACCCCGGAAGGGGAGUGAAACAGUUCCUGAAACCGUGUGCCUACAAGUAGUUAGAGCCCGUUAAUGGGUGAUAGCGUGCCUUUUGUAGAAUGAACCGGCGAGUUACGAUUUGUUGCAAGGUUAAGCGGAAAAAGCGGAGCCGUAGCGAAAGCGAGUCUGAAUAGGGCGCAUAAGUAACAGGUCGUAGACCCGAAACCAGGUGAUCUACCCAUGUCCAGGAUGAAGGUAAGGUAAUACUUACUGGAGGUCCGAACCCACGCACGUUGAAAAGUGCGGGGAUGAGGUGUGGGUAGCGGAGAAAUUCCAAUCGAACUUGGAGAUAGCUGGUUCUCUCCGAAAUAGCUUUAGGGCUAGCCUCGAGGUAAAGAGUCAUGGAGGUAGAGCACUGUUUGGACUAGGGGCCCUUCUCGGGUUACCGAAUUCAGAUAAACUCCGAAUGCCAUGUACUUAUACUCGGGAGUCAGACUGCGAGUGAUAAGAUCCGUAGUCGAAAGGGAAACAGCCCAGACCACCAGUUAAGGUCCCCAAAUAUAUGUUAAGUGGAAAAGGAUGUGGGGUUGCUUAGACAACCAGGAUGUUGGCUUAGAAGCAGCCACCAUUGAAAGAGUGCGUAAUAGCUCACUGGUCGAGUGACCCCGCGCCGAAAAUGUACCGGGGCUAAACAUAUUACCGAAACUGUGGAUGAACCUCUUUAGAGGUUCGUGGUAGGAGAGCGUUCUAAGGGCGGUGAAGUCAGACCGGAAGGACUGGUGGAGCGCUUAGAAGUGAGAAUGCCGGUAUGAGUAGCGAAAGAAGGGUGAGAAUCCCUUCCACCGAAUAUCUAAGGUUUCCUGAGGAAGGCUCGUCCGCUCAGGGUUAGUCGGGACCUAAGCCGAGGCCGAUAGGCGUAGGCGAUGGACAACAGGUAGAGAUUCCUGUACCAGUGCUAAUUGUUUAACCGAUGGGGUGACACAGAAGGAUAGGGAAUCGCACGAAUGGAAAUGUGCGUCCAAGCAGUGAGUGUGAGAAGUAGGCAAAUCCGCUUCUCGCGAAGCAUGAGCUGUGAUGGGGAAGGAAAUUAAGUACGGAAGUUCCUGAUUUCACGCUGUCAAGAAAAGCCUCUAGGAAGAGUAGUACUGCCCGUACCGCAAACCGACACAGGUAGAUGAGGAGAGAAUCCUAAGGUGAGCGAGAGAACUCUCGUUAAGGAACUCGGCAAAAUGACCCCGUAACUUCGGGAGAAGGGGUGCUCUAUUAGGGUGCAAGCCCGAGAGAGCCGCAGUGAAUAGGCCCAGGCGACUGUUUAGCAAAAACACAGGUCUCUGCAAAACCGUAAGGUGACGUAUAGGGGCUGACGCCUGCCCGGUGCUGGAAGGUUAAGAGGAGUGCUUAGCUUCGGCGAAGGUACGAAUUGAAGCCCCAGUAAACGGCGGCCGUAACUAUAACGGUCCUAAGGUAGCGAAAUUCCUUGUCGGGUAAGUUCCGACCCGCACGAAAGGCGCAACGAUCUGGGCACUGUCUCAACGAGAGACUCGGUGAAAUUAUAGUACCUGUGAAGAUGCAGGUUACCCGCGACAGGACGGAAAGACCCCGUGGAGCUUUACUGCAACCUGAUAUGGAAUGUUUGUACCGCUUGUACAGGAUAGGUAGGAGCCGAAGAGACGUGUGCGCUAGCAUACGAGGAGGCAAUGGUGGGAUACUACCCUGGCUGUAUGACCAUUCUAACCCGCCACGCUUAGCGCGUGGGGAGACAGUGUCAGGUGGGCAGUUUGACUGGGGCGGUCGCCUCCUAAAGAGUAACGGAGGCGCCCAAAGGUUCCCUCAGAAUGGAUGGAAAUCAUUCGCAGAGUGUAAAGGCACAAGGGAGCUUGACUGCGAGACUGACAAGUCGAGCAGGGACGAAAGUCGGGCUUAGUGAUCCGGUGGUUCCGCAUGGAAGGGCCAUCGCUCAACGGAUAAAAGCUACCCCGGGGAUAACAGGCUUAUCUCCCCCAAGAGUCCACAUCGACGGGGAGGUUUGGCACCUCGAUGUCGGCUCGUCGCAUCCUGGGGCUGUAGUCGGUCCCAAGGGUUGGGCUGUUCGCCCAUUAAAGCGGCACGCGAGCUGGGUUCAGAACGUCGUGAGACAGUUCGGUCCCUAUCCGUCGCGGGCGCAGGAAAUUUGAGAGGAGCUGUCCUUAGUACGAGAGGACCGGGAUGGACACACCGCUGGUGUACCAGUUGUUCCGCCAGGAGCAUCGCUGGGUAGCUAUGUGUGGCAGGGAUAAACGCUGAAAGCAUCUAAGCGUGAAGCCCCCCUCAAGAUGAGAUUUCCCAUUUCUUCGGAAAGUAAGAUCCCUGAAAGAUGAUCAGGUAGAUAGGUUUGGAGUGGAAGUGUAGCGAUACAUGGAGCGGACAAAUACUAAUCGAUCGAGGACUUAACCAAAA
Molecule: ribosomal RNA, 2550 nt
Filed under: Listeria monocytogenes
Lineage: Bacteria; Bacillati; Bacillota; Bacilli; Caryophanales; Listeriaceae
Description: partial 23S ribosomal RNA
Rfam family: Bacterial large subunit ribosomal RNA
Source: RNAcentral